Molecule: ribosomal RNA, 325 nt
Filed under: uncultured bacterium
Lineage: Bacteria
Description: bacterial SSU rRNA
Rfam family: Bacterial small subunit ribosomal RNA
Source: RNAcentral
GACGAACGCUGGCGGCGUGCCUAACACAUGCAAGUCGAGCGGAGCCAUCCGAAUGAUUCCUUCGGGAUGAAUUCGGGGAAGCUUAGCGGCGGACGGGUGAGUAACGCGUGAGUAACCUGCCCAUAAGAGGGGAAUAACACACCGAAAGGUGUGCUAAUACCGCAUGAUGUAUUUUUACCGCAUGAUAGAAAUACCAAAGAUUUUAUCGCUUAUGGAUGGACUCGCGUCUGAUUAGAUAGUUGGUGGGGUAACGGCCUACCAAGUCGACGAUCAGUAGCCGAACUGAGAGGUUGAUCGGCCACAUUGGGACUGAGACACGGCCCAG